ACAGUUUGAUCCUGGCUCAUGAUGAACGCUAGCGGCAGGCUUAAUACAUGCAAGUCGUGGGGCAGCGCAGUGUACCAAUACAUGGGCGGCGACCGGCAAACGGGUGCGGAACACGUACGCAACCUUCCCUUAAGUGGUGAAUAGCUUUCGGAAACGAAAAUUAAUACACCGUAACAUGAUGAGACGGCAUCGUUUUACCAUUAUAGCUCCGGCGCUUAAGGAUGGGCGUGCGUCUGAUUAGGUAGUUGGCGGGGUAACGGCCCACCAAGCCUACGAUCAGUAACUGGUGUGAGAGCGCGACCAGUCACACGGGCACUGAGACACGGGCCCGACUCCUACGGGAGGCAGCAGUAAGGAAUAUUGGUCAAUGGACGCAAGUCUGAACCAGCCAUGCCGCGUGGAGGAUGAAGGUCCUCUGGAUUGUAAACUUCUUUUAUCUGGGAAGAAAUCCAUGGUUUCUACUGUGGUUGACGGCACCAGAUGAAUAAGCACCGGCUAACUCCGUGCCAGCAGCCGCGGUAAUACGGAGGGUGCAAGCGUUAUCCGGAUUCACUGGGUUUAAAGGGUGCGUACGUGGGCAGGUAAGUCAGUGGUGAAAUCUCCGGGCUUAACCCGGAAACUGCCGUUGAUACUAUCUGUCUUGAAUAUAGUGGAGGUGAGCGGAAUAUGUCAUGUAGCGGUGAAAUGCUUAGAUAUGACAUAGAACACCCAUUGCGAAUGCAGCUCGCUACACUAUUAUUGACGCUGAGGCACGAAAGCGUGGGGAUCAUACAGGAUUAGAUACCCUGGUAGUCCACGCCCUAAAGAUGAUUACUCGACAUCAGCGAUACCCUGUUGGUGUCUGACCGAAAGCAUUAAGUAAUCCACCUGGGAAGUACGACCGCAGGGUUGAAACUCAAAAGAAUUGACGGGGGUCCGCACAGCCGCUGGAGGCAUGUGU
This 940-nucleotide ribosomal RNA is filed under the name uncultured bacterium. RNAcentral's name for it is "bacterial SSU rRNA". It matches the Rfam family "Bacterial small subunit ribosomal RNA", at positions 8 to 944 of the family's 1533-position model. The record is from RNAcentral.